UUUUUUCUUAAUGGAAAAUAUGUAAUUUUUCUGAUCAUUUGAUUUUGAUAGAGGUAAUAAUUUACAUAUUUUACAAUUUUAUACUACUAAAUUAAAAUUUAUUAAUUAAAAUUAUAAUGGUGUGAUAAAACAUGUAAAAUAAAUAAUUACAUAAGUUGGCGGUGGAAGAGACUAGAGAGGGCACAUCCACUGAUGAAAAACAUGUAAAAUAAAAUCCAACAAAAUCACUAAAAUCAUACAUGUAAAAAUCCAAUCGAGGGCCAAAAAAUUAUACCCAUCUUCUAUUACAAUCUCAUCACACAAUGAGGGGAAAUACCCUAACAGGGAUGGACCCUAAAUAGUAAUCAAGACCCAUGAAAGAUAAUGGUUCUUGGGCUCUAUACAGUAUCCUAACCAUAAUUAAUCACAAGUAUUAUUUUAGCAACCAUAGGAAGCCACCUCUCCCUCACUCUCAGGCUCCCCAUCUCUGAGGCAAUUUAGAGGAGGUAUAGUGACUGUUUCUUCUGUCCCAUAAGCAUUCCAACAGAACGGAUCAUCUAUCAACUCUCCUUCUUCAGGGAGAAGCUCAACUUCUGAUAGGGUAAUAUUUGUGCAAGGGAUAGUGUCACUGCAGGCAAAGUGAAUUGGUGGGGUUCUCACAUCAUAAGUGCCUUUAAUGUUUCUGUAUGAUACAUCUGUCACGUACACAGCUGAGGUCUGGUUUAGACAUUCCUUUGACAAGCAGUAAUACUGGUCUAUGAUCAUGCAGUUUCUAACAUUCUCCAUUUGUAUAUUCUGGAAGGAUAUGCCUGAAACAGAACCUGUGCCUCCUUGCCAUGUCUUGAUCCUCACUCCAUUGUCUGAAUCUUUUAUAAUUGCAUUACUCACUGUUAUGUUAGAGACACAGGCCUGGGAAUUGUGUACUCCUAGGCUUCCAAUGCUACAGAAAAUAUAGAAAGCAAGCAACAUUUAGAACAAUAAUAAUUUGGCUACCUAAGUGGACUUCAUUAGAUAAAGCCAUGAAGGGCAUCAAAAUACAAAAGAUAACUCGAGAAAGAAUAUGAAUUCAGUUAAAAACAGAGACUUUGUACCUAAUCCCAUGACUAGGCCCGCAGGUCACACCCUCUAUAUCAAUAUUUGAGCAACCAGUUCCAAUUGAUAUGCAAUCAUCACCUGCAUAAAGCCAAAGAUGCAUUAUUAGAAAAUGGCGUUAAUUAGAUUUUAUAGUAGACAAUUAAUUGACAAAUUGAGUAUUAAAGACAGAUUCUUUUUGCUUUACCAUUGCUAAUCAUAGAGUUGUGUAUUCCAACAGUCUUUGUAUUUUCUAUGUGGAUCCCAUCAGUGUUGGGGCUAAGUUUAGGAGAAUAUAUGGACAGCUGUUGUAUCAGAACUCCUUCGCAGCCAUCAAAUUUCAUGUGGAAUUGAGGACUGUUUUGAAUCCUUAAAUUGCUUAUUACUAGAUUGGAGCUCAUGAAGAAACGAAUCAACUGAAUCAAAAAGCCAAAAAAAAAUGUCAAUAAUGGAAAAUUAUAUGUAUAAUUCAUCAAUUGUGCACUGGAGAAAAGAUUAAAUUUUUCUAUAAGGAUAAUUUUCACUUACUGCAGGGCUUUCACACGGUCCUUUGGAUGCCUCUCCAUUGGGACCCUGCUGAAAUUACAUUUGGUAAGCAUUUAUGGUGCAAUGGAGAAAAGAUUGUACCAGAUAUUGUUAAAUUGGCAAACAUGAACGAGGUCUAGUAUUUUUUUUUUUCCCUUGUGCAAAUAUAGAACUAAUGUGAAGCAGGGUGGAAUAAAGUAAAAUUACCCUGUGAGGUUUGCAGGGGAGAUCCCACCACUUCUCUCCAUUGCCUUCAAUAGUUCCUUUUCCAGUGAGAGUCAUAUCAUCUAGUCGAUAAAAAACAAGCCAUUGCUUUCUGCUAUCUUUUUCUGGCCAGGAAUCUGGUCCAUCCGGUGGCGUUAGGCACCCAUCCACCUGAAACACAAGUCCUGGCUUGCAAGGCCCUGAGAAAAUGGUUGAAGUGAUCAUGAAAACAUAACCUGAAGGAGCCAAAACAACCCCUGAUUCUACUGCACAAGCUGCCUUCCAUGCUUCUACAAAUGCGGAAGUGUCAUCUGUGGAACCAUCUCCAACUGCUCCAUAAGAUGUCACGUCGAAAGUGCAAUCUGAACUGGAGUUUCCAGGAUCAUUCGGAUAUGGGUCUGAAGGGAUUGGAGAAGGACGAUUAACAGGGGAGGAAGGAACAGAGGGAUCUUGAGGAUUAGGGACAUUAUCAGGGGAUGGAGCAACAGGGGACCCUCCUUUUUUGGAGGACUUGUUUUUUGUCUUGUGAUAAUGGUAUCUUCCCUGUACAUUGCUUGAAUUCUGAACGACAAUAAUUACUACAAUUGAAAUUACUACCAAACCACGAACGAUCUCCAUUAGAAGCGAUGAAUUGAACUUGGAAGGAUACUGCUGUAUGUAAUCUUCAACACUAUAAUAUAACGAGCUAAAAACCGAUAAUAUGUUAAUGUGGGAGCAGGAACCACAAAUGAUUCCUCUGAAGAGUGACCACAAGACAGUUUGAACUUUCUGGAUGUUGUUGUUGCAUGCCAAAUUUAAUGGAGGAGAACCAACAGGAUAGAGAGAGAAGAAAGAAUGCAAGACCAACAAGUGAAGGCCUCAACCUCAAGGGAAGAAGGAUGAUGGCUAAUGACCAUUAUGAAGCAGAGGCGUUAUUUUAUAAUGGAAGAAAAGCUCCCCAUAGAAACUAUUCUCAUGCACAAGGUUGACACGUGUCAUGUUUGCACUGAUUGAAACAUCAUUGUCUGUAGGGAGGAAGGGUUGAAGAGGCUUAGGGAGGUUGGAAUUGUGUGGCAAAUUUGGCAGUGUUUAUGGGUUCUUGGGUGGAAAUCCAUGUGUUGAUCUCCAGCAUUUUAUUUCCCUUAUAAUAUUUGCUCUGCAUUGGUUUCUAAGUUAUGUGGUCUAGUUUCCUCUUCCAUUUUUAUUUAAUUUUUUAUUUGUUUGGAUUUUCUGCUGUUGUUUUUAUUCUGUUGCCUAGUAGGUUAAAGUGGGAUGGGACUAGGAAAG
RNAcentral lists this unclassified non-coding RNA (3045 nucleotides) under Hevea brasiliensis (rubber tree). The record is from RNAcentral. Lineage: Eukaryota; Viridiplantae; Streptophyta; Magnoliopsida; Malpighiales; Euphorbiaceae.